UACGUAGGGGGCAAGCGUUGUUCGGAAUUACUGGGCGUAAAGGGCGCGUAGGCGGCCUGUUAAGUCAGACGUGAAAUCCCCGGGCUCAACCCGGGAACUGCGUCUGAUACUGGCAGGCUUGAAUCCGGGAGAGGGAUGCGGAAUUCCAGGUGUAGCGGUGAAAUGCGUAGAUAUCUGGAGGAACACCGGUGGCGAAGGCGGCAUCCUGGACCGGCAUUGACGCUGAGGCGCGAAAGCCAGGGGAGCAAACGGG
RNAcentral lists this ribosomal RNA (253 nucleotides) under uncultured bacterium. Its description in RNAcentral is "partial 16S ribosomal RNA". It matches the Rfam family "Bacterial small subunit ribosomal RNA", at positions 524 to 776 of the family's 1533-position model. The record is from RNAcentral.